Physcomitrium patens is the source of this 3565-nucleotide long non-coding RNA. RefSeq lists it as uncharacterized. Lineage: Eukaryota; Viridiplantae; Streptophyta; Bryopsida; Funariales; Funariaceae. The record is from RefSeq and is a predicted model, not a curated record.
UUCCAUUGUUUGUCACAUGGCGCUUGUUUCAGCUCAAUGCUCGGACACUCAUUGGACUAGAAGUACCUACUCUUUGGCCAUGUUGGGUUGUAUCAUGAGCCCAACACACAUCCUAGUUUAGGGUUUGGAGAUUCUCGUGGGAGUAUAUUUUCACGACGAAUACGUGAUCUGUCUUAAUUGCUCUGCUUUGCUAGUUGGCUUUGCAGAGAUAGUGUGGCUCUGCCGAUGAGUUUCACAUGAGCUAAGAGUGCAGAGAGUGCAGCUGAUUGUCCCGCAUCUAUGCCAGGGACUCAAGCUGCAGUCAAUUUCAAAGUGAAGCAGCAUAUUUUGAAAGCACAUUUCUGAACAACAUUUCAAUUGGAGACUGCACGUAGUUGUUGCAGCGGUUGGGUUGCUAUUUGCCAUUAACUUCCAACAUCUUGUACUAUUUUGUGCUUGUCCAGAUUUUUUGUGGAGAGUGUUGUGUACAGUAACUAGAGUCUACGAACAGGAAUUUGAAGGUUUGUGCUCGUGUUUGAUCGCCAGGCUACGUUAUCUGUGCGCUGCGGCAUAGUAAGUUUUGCAGCAGCCUGAGCUAGGUUUCAGAGCAUAAUAAGUGUACCGUUUGGAAUUUAGGGUUUUAACGAAGGUUCUAAUUCAAUCUACUUGAAAAAGCACCUCGUCUAUUCACCAUUUGGUGUAUCUCACGAUUAUGGUCUUCUUCGUGUAUGGUUUCUUCACUCAGUAGUUGAGAUAAGUUAUCCAGAUGUCGAAUGUGACCGUAUUCAAGAUCUGGGUGAAUAAGAACCGAAGCGGAAGAGCAAGCAAGGUAGGGCAUCUAAGAAAAGUUCUUGAUCUAAUGGUCAACGGGCUAAAGUGGAAAUGAAUUGCAGAGAUGAUGAGGGUGAAGAUCAGAAUGAUCACCAUGGUCUUCAAAGGAAUUCCCACAGCUAUUGCAUUCAAUCAUUAGGAAUUCUUCUUCUAAGCACUUCCAGUUGUUGCGUGAGGGAUGUGGGACCUGGAGCAUUGCAUGUACUGACCAACACAAUUUAUGAUUUUAUGAACAACUUGGAUUGGCGUUACUUAGCACGUCUGGAUCCUUUUCCCACAUUGGUUACGCCACCGAUACGACUUAAGAUGAGUAACGUAACGGAAGCAGAGCCGAUGUGUAAGAUUUCUUUAGAAUUUGCAAUUUUGCAUUACGAUAUUUGUUCUCCUCAGGUACUCCUGUCACAUUAAAUUCUUACUUCGUUCUGUUCACUAUGUCUAUAUUGUUCAGCAUGUGAUUGACUUCUACUCGGACUACCUCUUCCAGAACUGGCUGUGUGCAUGUCUCAAGAUUAAGCCUGGGUUGUUAACAUUGAGAUGCGUGAGAAUCUGUCUUCCGAUGAAUUUAUAAGGUAUUUUGAGCAGCGGAACAAGGUUGUUCUCCUUCGUGAUGUAAUGGAAUCCUUGCCAGCAUUGACAGAGUGGGACUACAUGUACCUUUUAAAGCACUCUGGAGAUAUCGAUUUUGCUGCUGGUUCUAUCCACCUCAAAUUUAGUUAUUUCUGUAAGUAAGCAGAUGCUGUGGAAGAGGAGCGUCCUCUGUACUUGUUAUGGAGGGUAUAACUCGCAACAUUACUGAGCAGUGGAGAGUCUAACAUCUCUCUUCAUUCAUGACAUAAAAGGUAAGGUGGGGGUCAUAUUUGAAUUUGAACAGUGUCAAUGCGCUAUGGCACCUAACCAAUCCACGACAGAAGGGUUUAUGAACUUCCGUAGCGAGACCAAGCAGUGGGUGGAAAGAUCUGUGAAGUGUACAUGCCGAAAAAGGAGAAUUCGUGUCUGCGCUACGUGGAUGGUAGCACAUUCUGAUUAAUCUGGAGGGAUCCGAUGCUCUCACCCAAAAUUUUCCAAGCAGAAAUAAGGUGUUAUCAGGAGCAACAUGAGUACUGUGCUGGAGUUUCUGAGCAGACCAAAUUCCCAGCACUUGUUAUCUGGAGUAAAAGAUCGAAUCGACUUGCACGAAAAAUUCUGACCCAGUUUUGAUUCUCUAAACCCCAGGUCAAAAUGGGUUAUGAAGAAGAUAACAGAAGAGCGGGAAGACGCCCUCUAAAAGGCCAAUAUUUGAAUAUGAGUCAAUGCUGCUGAUUCAAUAACUGGAGGAUUCAAAUUUGCCUUCUGAGUCCACCAUUUCGUUCUGUACUCUGUUCGAAUUUUCUUUAGCAUUUUUCUAGUGAAGAAUGGCACAUGUGCUGCACUAGCAGGUCACUCAAUCCAUUGUACGGCAGGAUCAUCGUUUAGAAUUGCUGCGCAGACCAAUGCCCAAUUUGAGUCUACGAUAUUUGAAGCUGAUAACAAUCUUAGGCAUCAAUGGACAUAGUGAGAUAACGAUACUCACAUCGCAGUCGCUCUAGAUCAGAAAAUCAACUGACUGACGUGGUUGUCCUAUUCUGUCCGCGCUGCUCAUUAUUAACGGUCAAUUUCCUUAUACUUUUAUAAUAUCUGGUUUCCUGUGUCUUGUGACACUCCUCAUUAAUACGCCUCAAUGUUAAUUUAGGUUGGAUUCCUUACUUUGAUUUUCCUUCAAAUGUUAUAUCUAUGAUAUGGACCCACCGUGUUCUAUAAUGCUGACGAUGAGCCAUCAGAUAGAAUCUUCGAGUAAACUAACGCGUGAGCGGUUCUAGAGUUGGGUGACUAAAGAUUCUUAAGUUUUGUAUUCUGCCAAGGAUUUCGCCGAGCUCCUAGUUUCACAUGGACUCGACACAAUGAUGAAGGGCAAUGCUUUAAAUGCACACGGAGAGGCACCAAUACUCUUGAGGCUUGCUGCGUACGUCGGUGAUGAAUGAAGUAUUAAACUGUGAAUUUACUGUUUCGGCAGCAAGAUCGAGAUGACAUAGUCCAUUGGAAAGCUGCCAAAAGCGCUUUAGGAAAAGACCAAAGGAUCAAUAAUUUACAAUUUCCAAUCCUUUUGAAGGUUGACGAUAGUGUCAAGCGAGAAGGUGCCAUCAACUCAAACAAAUCAGGAAAUUAAAAAAUCUAAGAAGAUUCGUGCUGUGGAGUCCUUACUCUCUACCACAUCCGCUGUAACAUUUCAAUACUUUACUCCAGGCUCGUCUUAAAAUCAGGUACCAACGUCACAACCUUCUAUCGCUACAUCAGCAGCAGCGUAAGAGAUGUGUUCUGUGGGGUUGGAAGAAGACAUGGCAGGGAGAAGAGCAGUAUGUGCCCCACAACCGAGAGAAAGAGAAACCUUUGCAUCAAGAUUUGUGCACGAACGUGUGUGUGGUCGAAACAUGGACAGGGCAAAAAAGAGCAAAUGAGUUGUGAACUUGGAUAGCCUAGCUCAUCUCGAGGUCGGUGAGCGAGAUGUGCGUAUGAGCUGCAUUGAUAAACUUUGUUGGUUCAUGGCGCAACAUGCUGCGUUUCAGCCGCUUUGCCACAAGUUUCAUGGAAAAGUUUCUGCAUGGAGAUAAAGCUAAAGCAGACGUUUGAUCAGUUCCUGGAGCAGUAGCAUAAGACUUUUUAUGGAGAGGAUACAUCGAAACAUUAUUGAGCAGUGCAGAAUGUAACAUCUCCCUUCAUUCAUGGCUUGGAAGGUGAGGUG